This 497-nucleotide ribosomal RNA is filed under the name uncultured bacterium. Its description in RNAcentral is "partial 16S ribosomal RNA". It matches the Rfam family "Bacterial small subunit ribosomal RNA", at positions 28 to 507 of the family's 1533-position model. The record is from RNAcentral.
GAUGAACGCUGGCGGCGUGCCUAAUACAUGCAAGUCGACCGAACGGACGAGAAGCUUGCUUCUCUGAUGUUAGCGGCGGACGGGUGAGUAACACGUGGAUAACCUACCUAUAAGACUGGGAUAACUUCGGGAAACCGUAGCUAAUACCGGAUAAUAUUUUGAACCGCAUGGUUCAAAAGUGAAAGACGGUCUUGCUGUCACUUAUAGAUGGAUCCGCGCUGCAUUAGCUAGUUGGUAAGGUAACGGCUUACCAAGGCAACGAUGCAUAGCCGACCUGAGAGGGUGAUCGGCCACACUGGAACUGAGACACGGUCCAGACUCCUACGGGAGGCAGCAGUAGGGAAUCUUCCGCAAUGGGCGAAAGCCUGACGGAGCAACGCCGCGUGAGUGAUGAAGGUCUUCGGAUCGUAAAACUCUGUUAUUAGGGAAGAACAUAUGUGUAAGUAACUGUGCACAUCUUGACGGUACCUAAUCAGAAAGCCACGGCUAACUACGUG